CACGUAGGGGGCGAGCGUUGUCCGGAAUCAUUGGGCGUAAAGCGCGUGUAGGCGGCUGGCUAAGUCCGCUCUGAAAGCCCGGGGCUCAACCCCGGGAGGCGGGUGGAUACUGGCCAGCUCGAGUCCGGAAGAGGAGUGUGGAAUUCCUGGUGUAGCGGUGAAAUGCGCAGAUAUCAGGAGGAACACCAAUGGCGAAGGCAGCACUCUGGGACGGUACUGACGCUGAGACGCGAAAGCGUGGGGAGCAAACAGG
This 253-nucleotide ribosomal RNA is filed under the name uncultured bacterium. RNAcentral describes it as "partial 16S ribosomal RNA". It matches the Rfam family "Bacterial small subunit ribosomal RNA", at positions 524 to 776 of the family's 1533-position model. The record is from RNAcentral.